Molecule: long non-coding RNA, 2429 nt
Filed under: Patiria miniata (bat star)
Lineage: Eukaryota; Metazoa; Echinodermata; Asteroidea; Valvatida; Asterinidae
Description: uncharacterized LOC119730921
Source: RNAcentral
CCGAAGGCAAUCCGACCAUCUCACCGCACAGGCAGCCGCUACUCGUCCAUCCUAUCAUCUAUCGCUGCAUUGACCACCGGCUCACCUAGCAAGUGGAUUCUCUUGGUCCAAAGCUCUGUGUUUGCGUUGAUUUUCUACAGUGCAGAGUACCCGCAUCCCCUCUAUAGAUUUCAACAUGAAGACUUGGACAUUGCUUCUGGUGGUUGUCGUGAUGGCAGUUGUCAUGACAGCGGUUGCUAUGGAGGAAGAGGACAACGAUGACUGGUUUGAGAACAUGAUACAAGAAUACAAGAGAAGGCCGCGCCCUCCACCGCGUAACCUAUCAUCUCGAAUGCAGUGUACUGGGUAUGGGAAGCCGUGCGCCAUUAAGAACAGGAAGCACAAUUGCUGCCAAGGUAUGGGUUGCUACAGUGGCACUGGCGACGACUGUUACGGGAAUUCACGAUGCAUUUGUAUGAAAACUCCCGCGCUGAGGUACAUCUACAACUUGUAAAGGGCGCCACCAUGCGGUUCUAAGGAGCGUUAACAUCAAAGAACCGAGAUAUAAACGGCAACAAGUGUCAGCAUAGAACAUAACAUGGCCUAAAUGUAUAACGAAUAUUUUAAUUUAUCACUUUAUAUAACUUAUGGAUUGGGAUCGAUACAUUUUCACUGAACCUGACAACUAUUAUCACUUUUUUAUGAAUAUAUAUACGGCAAAUAGUAGUCUUUAAGCAAUGUACUCUGCAGAACAUCCGAGUAGCAAAGAUAACUAACCUGGAAACGUACAGUAAAAAGUCAACAAAUCGUCUGACAGUCAUGUACAUUACUGCAUUAAUGUAUUACCAACGAUGAGUUGUGGCUGCAACAUUCUGCCGCAGUUUAUAUAUAAGUGAGCAAUGAAUUUUUCUGCAUCCAGGUUAGCCAGUGACCAUAAUGCGCAUGCGUCAGUUGGUAAAGAAAUGGGAGGUCCCUUUUAAAAAAAAAUCCGCUGCAGCCAUGAAUCAAGCACAAUUUAGGAAAGAAAACAACUUUAACUUCCAGUAAUCCAACCCCAACAUGCAGCAUUCUACAUUGUGACCACUGACCUAACGUAUAGCUUCGAUCUUCGCCGGAUAUCUAAACCAUAUAAAGUUAUUUCAAAUCACAUGAUGUAUUAAUUCAAUUACGCAAUAUAUUUCACGCAUGCGACUUAUGGUAUAUGAGUUUACUAGCCUGCAGAAAAAAAUCACCUAUUGCUGCCAGGCGCGGUAAGCCGCCGCGAUGAUAGAGGGCGCUAUCAACAAGAUGAUUCCGAUACAGUCUCGGGAAGUUUGGCGGCGCACCAAAGAAAUUGCGAGCUUAAUUACAAGCGUGCAUUAGCUUGAAUGUAGACCUUUCUUUGGUUGGCACUUUUUGCCCACCACGGGUUGGCAAGACAAUAUUAUGAGCCAAAAUAAAUAGUUAUUAAUGUUUCCAAACAUAUCAAUGGGUUAUUGACAAUACAAAAUUAGCAACAAAAGCUACAAAGACUUAAUAAAAAAAGACUUAAUAAAAAUGGCGCUCAAUUCUUACGUAACAAGAAAGGUCCAUAGUGAGUGUAACGUAUGCUCAUCUUGUUGGUAGCGCUUACCAGGGAUCGGGACCGACUGCAUUAGGGGAGCAGUCUUGAACCAAGUCUAGUGAUUCUAUACUACCCUAAACUGCAAGGAAGAUGCCACAAAAUUGCUGCGAAGGAGUGCAGCCAAUCUCUAUUUUUGUAAAUUAAAGCCACGUAGGAUCAUUUUCAAUUACAUGGAAAAAGUACCUCUACCAAUUCAAGAACAGAAACCUUUCUCAAGUGUUCUGUAUUGUCCCCAGCGCAAUUAGAAACAUGCACCAUUCUUAAUCCCAAAAUACGGAUUAAAUGAAUUGAGGUACUUACUGAUCGAGUACAUAUAGUGCGCCCUCACUUGUCUUCUAUAGUUAAUUGAUAUGCGAUGUUAUUAUAACUUUGCUACCCUGUAAAUUCCUGUUAGUUUCUCAGAAAAGUACAGCAAAUCUUGCUUUCAGAUACCUUGAAUAAUUAAGAAAAAUAGUUUCCCGUAUAGCGAAAACUAUUUGUUUAUGUUGCACGUUCCUCAUCUAUAUACUUACAGAAAUGCAUCAAAGAUAACCUUUUCCAUGUAAUAAAAGCCUAUUGAUUUUUUAAUUGAUGAGAAAAACAGACAUGAUUAGUAAGGAAACUACUCUUCAAAUUUUUGCUUGCUCAAGAGUCGAUGGGUUAAUUGUAAAUAUAUCUUUUGUAGGGGGUUAUUACUAACCAGUGUUGAGAUUGUUGUAGUGCAGUCUUUUUCCAAGUCGGCCAGCUGUAGUGAAUAUUUUUUUUGGGGUGGACUGUUACGUCACCUUCUAACAUUCGCUAUUGCUAUUUGAAUUCAUUUUGUGGUUUUUUUUGCAAUUUUAUUUGGGGACGGGGGCGGGGAGGGGGG